This 381-nucleotide microRNA precursor is filed under the name Selaginella moellendorffii. RNAcentral describes it as "miR1097 stem-loop (smo-MIR1097)". The record is from miRBase by way of RNAcentral. Lineage: Eukaryota; Viridiplantae; Streptophyta; Lycopodiopsida; Selaginellales; Selaginellaceae.
GCUCAAGUCAUAGCCAUUGUUGUUGUUGGAAUUCCUCUGAAAAGACUCCUAGCCUCCUUGGCAGCCAUAGCAAAAAUGCCAUUAAUUUUUUUGUCGACAUUCUUCUUCCAGCCAGAUUAUCCAUUAGUGGGAGUGGCGGGAUCACAAGAACCAAAGGCAGUCUUCUUCCAUAGAUCAUCCAUCAGUGGCAGUGUUGGGAAUAGGGAACGUGGCAAGCUUGGUAGCAGUGCCUCUUGGGCUCUUGUGAUCUUGCCACUCCCACUGAUGGAUGAUUUGGCUGGAAGAAGAAUGUCGACAAAGGAAUCAACGGCACUGUUGCUAUAUCUGCUAAGGAGGCUAGAAGUCCUUCAAAAGGAAUUCCAACAGCAACAAUGGCUAUGA